CUCUGCCAAAACCUCCCCUUCGCGAAAAAUUCAUGAAAAACUCAUUUACUCCUGAAACCCUCCUAAGUGAAAAACCUAGGCUCCAAAACUCAUGUCCACGAGACAAAAACCCAAGGCUUCAUCUCUUCUCUGCCACUACUGGUCGGCAGCCUCCUCCACUUCAUCACCACCGGCCUCCCUUAUUCUCUUCCUCUACCCGAUUGGGAGAGGACAAGCUCCCUCUUCUGCCUCCAUCUCAUCCAUAGCCAACGCUAACGCACACAAUAGGAGCUUCAUCCCUGAAUUCGCCGGCCAUCUCAUCUCCUCUACCAUCUUCCUCAUCGCUGACGGCAAGGUCUUCUCACAGAGCUUCCAGAUCUGAAAGUCAUCUCACGGUGCCUUCGUCCUCAGCCCACAACCUUCUCCCAAGUGGGAGAGGCACCACCGUUGAACUCUACAGCAUCCUCUCCUGAUUGGUAGAGGUUUCUUUGCCACCACUGGUUUCCUUCCACCUCUCCAUUUUGGAUUUGAAGAGUAAAGCUUCAUCACUAGCCAACAACACCUCUCCUUUUCGGAUUUGAAGAGGAGAGUUCAUCCAUCCUUUCGACAACCCCUUUCUCUUCAAAUUCAAAGAGAAGGAUUCGUUCUCCAUCGACGAGCAGCCAUGCACUUCAUCCACAGCCUUCGCCGACAGAUUGGCCAUCAGAGAAGCUCCAUCCAGCAGCCCCCUCUCCACUUCAGAUUUGAAGAGGAGAGCUCUAUUCUGAUCCGUGCCUAUGACAUUGGGUUAUUUCUAUCUAUAUUGGAUUGUGUUAUGCUUGUUGAUUGUUGAAUUGUAACAUAGCUAUUCUCCCAUGUUUAGAAUUGCAUGUAUUUUGUUUAAUUGAAUUCUCGCUCGUUAUGUGUUUGAUGAAAUGCCUCUUUCAUUAGUUAGUUUCUAAACUUGCAUCUUCUUUGGUUUGAAUUCUUGGGAUGGUUAGUUAGUUGAAUGUUUUAGGUUAGAUUAGAUUAGUUGAAUUUUGAUAAAUUUAUUCAUGUGGAAGUUUAUUUCUGAUAUUUCCUAAAUUUCUGUGACUCAAAUUUAUUCAACUUGUCCAUUACCUUGCCUACACUCAAAUUGCUUUGAAUGGAGUUCAAUUAGGUGGGUUAGGAGUCAUGUACCAAACACCAAAUACCUAGAAUUAGCUAGGCUUGUUUUGAUUUUGGAUAUCUCCACUAUUAAUUUCAUAAUUUUCAAGCAUGUAGUUAUGUAUAGCUUUUUUAUUUUUUUAUUUUUGUUAAACCUAAUAUAUCUAGCAUGAUUCUUUUCCAUAGAUUGGCAAGGCCUGUGAGGAGAAAUGGAAAACAAUGUCUUUUGAGGUUUAUUCUACCUUUGUGCAACUUAUAAAAGUCUGACCAUCAUUCCUAGAGGUAUUCAGAAACUCUAGCUAAAUAGCUCGGGUAUGGAUGAUUACAAGAGCAACAACUACAUGCUAUGUGACACUACAUCCGAACCUCAAGGGUGUGACUAGGAAGUAUUUCAACGAAGAACUAUCAAGAAGGCUUUGAGAUUUAAGCGAGAAGAUGGUUAAAGUCAAUCAGUAAAGAACAUUCUAUUGGAUCGAUAUGCAUGUGAGAGGAGGGAUGAAUCAUGUGAUUUUCAAAAAUGUAUUUUAUCAUUUUUUUAAAAAAAACACGAGUACGUAGUGAAAAACUAAGUAAUAAAAUGAACACAAGAAAACGCGGUCGAUUUUACUUGGUU
Zingiber officinale is the source of this 1720-nucleotide long non-coding RNA. RefSeq lists it as uncharacterized. The record is from RefSeq and is a predicted model, not a curated record. Lineage: Eukaryota; Viridiplantae; Streptophyta; Magnoliopsida; Zingiberales; Zingiberaceae. The transcript is spliced from 3 exons.